This 30-nucleotide non-coding RNA is filed under the name Rattus norvegicus (Norway rat). Lineage: Eukaryota; Metazoa; Chordata; Mammalia; Rodentia; Muridae. The record is from RNAcentral.
UGCUUCUGUGGUGUGUGCUGUAUCCAGAGG